GGAGGAAAAGAAACUAACAAGGAUUCCCCUAGUAACUGCGAGUGAAGCGGGAAAAGCUCAAAUUUAAAAUCUGGCGGUCUUUCGGCUGUCCGAGUUGUAAUCUAGAGAAGUGUUAUCCGCGCUGGACCGUGUACAAGUCUCCUGGAAUGGAGCAUCAUAGAGGGUGAGAAUCCCGUCUUUGACAUGGACUGCCCAGGGCUUUGUGAUGCGCUCUCAAAGAGUCGAGUUGUUUGGGAAUGCAGCUCAAAAUGGGUGGUAAAUUCCAUCUAAAGCUAAAUAUUGGCGAGAGACCGAUAGCGAACAAGUACCGUGAGGGAAAGAUGAAAAGAACUUUGGAAAGAGAGUUAAACAGUACGUGAAAUUGCUGAAAGGGAAACGCUUGAAGUCAGUCGCGUCGUCCAGGGAUCAACCUUGCUUUUGCUUGGUGCACUUUCUGGUUCGAUGGGUCAGCAUCAAUUUUGACUGUUGGAAAAAGGUUGAGGGAAUGUGGCAUCUUUGGAUGUGUUUAUAGCCCUUGGUCACAUACAAUGGUUGGGAUUGAGGAACUCAGCACGCCGCAAGGCCGGGUUUUAAACCACGUACGUGCUUAGGAUGCUGGCAAUAUGGCUUUAAUCGACCCGUCUUGAAACACGGACCAAGGAGUCUAACAUGCCUGCGAGUGUUUGGGUGGAAAACCCGAGCGCGUAAUGAAAGUGAAAAGUUGAGAUCCCUGUCGUGGGGAGCAUCGACGCCCGGACCAGACCUUUUGUGACGGUUCCGCGGUAGAGCAUGUAUGUUGGGACCCGAAAGAUGGUGAACUAUGCCUGAAUAGGGUGAAUCCAGAGGAAACUCUGGUGGAGGCUCGUAGCGAUUCUGACGUGCAAAUCGAUCGUCAAAUUUGGGUAUAGGGGCGAAAGACUAAUC
RNAcentral lists this ribosomal RNA (903 nucleotides) under Cortinarius cf. alboviolaceus RH1546. Its description in RNAcentral is "eukaryotic LSU rRNA". It matches the Rfam family "Eukaryotic large subunit ribosomal RNA", at positions 52 to 936 of the family's 3401-position model. Lineage: Eukaryota; Fungi; Basidiomycota; Agaricomycetes; Agaricales; Cortinariaceae. The record is from RNAcentral.